UACGUAGGGUGCGAGCGUUGUCCGGAAUUAUUGGGCGUAAAGAGCUUGUAGGCGGUUUGUCGCGUCUGCUGUGAAAAUCUCGAGCUCCACUGAGCUUGCAGUGGGUACGGGCAGACUAGAGUGUGGUAGGGGGAGACUGGAAUUCCUGGUGUAGCGGUGAAAUGCGCAGAUAUCAGGAGGAACACCGGUGGCGAAGGCGGGUCUCUGGGCCGUAACUGACGCUGGAGGAGCGAA
RNAcentral lists this ribosomal RNA (234 nucleotides) under uncultured bacterium. RNAcentral describes it as "partial 16S ribosomal RNA". It matches the Rfam family "Bacterial small subunit ribosomal RNA", at positions 524 to 757 of the family's 1533-position model. The record is from RNAcentral.